Molecule: transfer RNA, 71 nt
Rfam family: tRNA
About the family: Transfer RNA (tRNA) molecules are approximately 80 nucleotides in length. Their secondary structure includes four short double-helical elements and three loops (D, anti-codon, and T loops).
UUGAGAGAGACAUAGUGGUUAUGAUGUUGGCUUGAAACCAAUAGUAGGGGGUUCAAUUCCUUCCUCUCUUA